RNAcentral lists this long non-coding RNA (292 nucleotides) under dengue virus type 3. RNAcentral's name for it is "Dengue virus type 3 partial sfRNA1". Lineage: Riboviria; Orthornavirae; Kitrinoviricota; Flasuviricetes; Amarillovirales; Flaviviridae. The record is from RNAcentral.
UAACUGUCAGGCCACAUUAAGCCACAGUACGGAAGAAGCUGUGCUGCCUGUGAGCCCCGUCCAAGGACGUUAAAAGAAGAAGUCAGGCCCCAAAGCCACGGUUUGAGCAAACCGUGCUGCCUGUAGCUCCGUCGUGGGGACGUAAAACCUGGGAGGCUGCAAACUGUGGAAGCUGUACGCACRGUGUAGCAGACUAGCGGUUAGAGGAGACCCCUCCCAUGACACAACGCAGCAGCUGGGCCCGAGCACUGAGGGAAGCUGUACCUCCUUGCAAAGGACUAGAGUUUAGAGC